CCAACGCAUCAGAUUGUUCCAGAAGCAUCAAGCUCCCUCUGACCCGCGACGCGACCCGACGACCCGAACGGAACUUCCCCUUCCGGUCAUAUCACGGCGGCGGACCACCGGCGUUUGCUUCGUCUCGACGACGCCGAUGCACCUAUGGCCAAGGAUCGUCCAUGCACAGACCGUGGAGGGAGGUUCGAAGCUUGGAAGCUUAAAGCUUUUCCGGUGUUCCUCGACUUUUCCGGCGACUCCGGCAUCGUUUAGGUCGUCUGAGCUCUUCUGGGUUCGUUUUCCGUCUUGCCUGCACCUGUAGACGUGUCAACCUCGACUAUAGCUGGAUGUUCGAAGCUGCUGGGUUGGUGUACUCUGGCUCCUCCGUUUGUUCAUCGUCGAAAUUCCGGGAAUUUAGCCUAGGACUCCAGUUACCCGAGGAACGGAAGGUUCGUGAAUUUCGGACGACUUCGGAAUCCAGGUAGGGGAUUCGGGGCCUUUCUCGGUUAGUAGUUUUCCCGUUUUAUAUAAAGUGAAGCAUGAUGCAUGUUAAAUUAUAUGGUAUGGUUAUGUUUAAAUGCAAUGCAUACUAACCAUUCCGUGAGAGAUAUCGUUGAUGUCUUGAGAGCGAAGGGUGGCUCUGACUUCCUUGGGUUCGAUCCCCAAAACCUCUGGAGGGUUAGCUACACCGGUCGGACGGUGCGCGAUCGUAAUGACGACCCGAUUCCGUGUGUGUAGCUAGGUAGCGGACGCUCUCGCUACGCUUACCUGGUUAUGAAUUGAUUUGAGGUAAGGUCGUGUAGUUGGUCUAUGGGACCGGCCAUCAGGUAUUGUUUUGGGCCCGUAUUUACUUGAAGUUCAUGCAUCGUAUUUUAUAUCGGAAAAUCAUUUAAGUUGUCGUUCUUAAAGAAAAUGCAUUUACAUAUGUUUUUAUACUGGCGCCACAAAAGUUUAUUUAAAGGUUUUCAAAUAUAGCCGGGGUGAAGCCCCUGUUGAGCAGCGAGGACGAAAGCUCACCCCUACAACAGUGUGGAUGCAGGUACUGUGCACUGGUGACGGGAUUGACGGACGGAGCGGGUUUGCAGAGUCAACUUCGGUAAAUGGUUGUAAUGGGAACAGGUUCCGAAGUUUAAUGAUUGUUUAGUGUUAUCUCAGAAGUAGUUGAUUGAUCAUUUACCAUUUAUUCUAAAUUCAAUACUCGGAGAUGUCGAUUA
Rosa rugosa (rugosa rose) is the source of this 1193-nucleotide long non-coding RNA. RefSeq lists it as uncharacterized. Lineage: Eukaryota; Viridiplantae; Streptophyta; Magnoliopsida; Rosales; Rosaceae. The record is from RefSeq and is a predicted model, not a curated record. The transcript is spliced from 3 exons.